Molecule: long non-coding RNA, 391 nt
Organism: Amyelois transitella
Lineage: Eukaryota; Metazoa; Arthropoda; Insecta; Lepidoptera; Pyralidae
Exons: 3
Source: RefSeq, a predicted model, not a curated record
CAGUGUAUAAGUUUGUGAUUUGUUACUUUUUGCCAAAAUUUUGCUGCGGCUUAUAAAAUUGCAGUGAAAACGAUCAAUGUUUUGGAAGGACGCCGAGUGAGAUCAUCUAAAGCUAUGUUCAGUCGAUAUCCAUCACUACAAGUCGGCAGAUUAUGAAAUUUUUCAUUAAACUACAUGAAAUGAGUAAGGAGUGGACAACGGAAAUUAUAAAAAAAAUUGCAUAGAUAUGAGAAAGCAAACAUCAUCUGCGAAUUUUAGGAAAUGAAAAGGAUUGGUAAAGGUCUGAACAAUGAAAUGACAAGAAGAGAACAUCGAGACAUUGCUUUAAAAAACGACGUGACAGGAGUACAACUGUACAAGAAAGAUUUGAAUUUGGAAUGCGCAGGCGCAG